CUGUAAGCCUGUGAAGGUGGCCUGUGAGGGUUGCUGGAGGUAUCAGAAGUGCGAAUGCUGACAUAAGUAACGAUAAAGCGGGUGAAAAGCCCGCUCGCCGGAAGACCAAGGGUUCCUGUCCAACGUUAAUCGGGGCAGGGUGAGUCGACCCCUAAGGCGAGGCCGAAAGGCGUAGUCGAUGGGAAACGGGUUAAUAUUCCCGUACUUGGUGUUACUGCGAAGGGGGGACGGAGAAGGCUAUGUUGGCCGGGCGACGGUUGUCCCGGUUUAAGCGUGUAGGUGUGUGUUCCAGGUAAAUCCGGUUCACUUUAACACUGAGGCGUGAUGACGAGGCACUACGGUGCUGAAGCAACAAAUGCCCUGCUUCCAGGAAAAGCCUCUAAGCAUCAGGUAACAUCAAAUCGUACCCCAAACCGACACAGGUGGUCAGGUAGAGAAUACCAAGGCGCUUGAGAGAACUCGGGUGAAGGAACUAGGCAAAAUGGUGCCGUAACUUCGGGAGAAGGCACGCUGACACGUAGGUGAAGUGAUUUACUCAUGGAGCUGAAGUCAGUCGAAGAUACCAGCUGGCUGCAACUGUUUAUUAAAAACACAGCACUGUGCAAACACGAAAGUGGACGUAUACGGUGUGACGCCUGCCCGGUGCCGGAAGGUUAAUUGAUGGGGUCAGCGCAAGCGAAGCUCCUGAUCGAAGCCCCGGUAAACGGCGGCCGUAACUAUAACGGUCCUAAGGUAGCGAAAUUCCUUGUCGGGUAAGUUCCGACCUGCACGAAUGGCGUAAUGAUGGCCAGGCUGUCUCCACCCGAGACUCAGUGAAAUUGAACUCGCUGUGAAGAUGCAGUGUACCCGCGGCAAGACGGAAAGACCCCGUGAACCUUUACUAUAGCUUGACACUGAACAUUGAGCCUUGAUGUGUAGGAUAGGUGGGAGGCUUUGAAGUGUGGACGCCAGUCUGCAUGGAGCCGGCCUUGAAAUACCACCCUUUAAUGUUUGAUGUUCUAACGUGGACCCGUGAUCCGGGUUGCGGACAGUGUCUGGUGGGUAGUUUGACUGGGGCGGUCUCCUCCUAAAGAGUAACGGAGGAGCACGAAGGUUGGCUAAUCCUGGUCGGACAUCAGGAGGUUAGUGCAAUGGCAUAAGCCAGCUUGACUGCGAGCGUGACGGCGCGAGCAGGUGCGAAAGCAGGUCAUAGUGAUCCGGUGGUUCUGAAUGGAAGGGCCAUCGCUCAACGGAUAAAAGGUACUCCGGGGAUAACAGGCUGAUACCGCCCAAGAGUUCAUAUCGACGGCGGUGUUUGGCACCUCGAUGUCGGCUCAUCACAUCCUGGGGCUGAAGUAGGUCCCAAGGGUAUGGCUGUUCGCCAUUUAAAGUGGUACGCGAGCUGGGUUUAGAACGUCGUGAGACAGUUCGGUCCCUAUCUGCCGUGGGCGCUGGAGAACUGAGGGGGGCUGCUCCUAGUACGAGAGGACCGGAGUGGACGCAUCACUGGUGUUCGGGUUGUCAUGCCAAUGGCACUGCCCGGUAGCUAAAUGCGGAAGAGAUAAGUGCUGAAAGCAUCUAAGCACGAAACUUGCCCCGAGAUGAGUUCUCCCUGAGACUUUAGGUCUCCUGAAGGAACGUUGAAGACGACGACGUUGAUAGGCCGGGUGUGUAAGCGCAGCGAUGCGUUGAGCUAACCGGUACUAAUGAACCGUGAGGCUUAACCUUACA
This 1710-nucleotide ribosomal RNA is filed under the name Salmonella enterica. RNAcentral describes it as "bacterial LSU rRNA". It matches the Rfam family "Bacterial large subunit ribosomal RNA", at positions 1241 to 2925 of the family's 2925-position model. The record is from RNAcentral. Lineage: Bacteria; Pseudomonadati; Pseudomonadota; Gammaproteobacteria; Enterobacterales; Enterobacteriaceae.